UUCGAUCUUCGAUCCGUCUUCGGAAACGCGAUCUACGCGUAAGGAUCUACAUUUUUACCGAUCGUUUUGAGGUAAUGGGUUACUUGGAACUUGCUUAAGACUACCCAGACCAUGGAUUUUGGUUUGGUGAAUUUUGUAAUGCAUUGUAUGGGGGUGUCUAAGAGACCUAGUGCUUAAUAUCCGCGCAGCCAAGACAUUGAUGCUUUGGUUGCAGGCUCUGCGGAUAUAGAUAUUGACUCGUUCACCUAGCGUAUGGGAUACUAUGAUUGGAGCACAUCGCAACAGUCAUAAGUCACGGACUCAUGGGUAGUUCGCAUUUUGGGUAUUUUAUCUAUGGCCCGUGUCCUACGGGGCACAUGUAUUUGUUGAGCCUAUAUUUUAGAAUGUAAUUAGUGUAAUUUGUUAUAUAAGCCUUAAAUAGAUAGACUUGUAAAUGGCUCUUUGUUGUAAUUAACUGUUGUGUAUUAGAUGUACUUCCGCUUAUGAUAUGUGUUCCGCUGCACAUUGAUUACUA
This is a long non-coding RNA of Alnus glutinosa, 514 nucleotides long. RefSeq lists it as uncharacterized. The record is from RefSeq and is a predicted model, not a curated record. NCBI's taxonomy places the organism in Eukaryota, Viridiplantae, Streptophyta, Magnoliopsida, Fagales, Betulaceae. The transcript is spliced from 4 exons.